This is a long non-coding RNA of Limulus polyphemus (Atlantic horseshoe crab), 230 nucleotides long. RefSeq lists it as uncharacterized. NCBI's taxonomy places the organism in Eukaryota, Metazoa, Arthropoda, Merostomata, Xiphosura, Limulidae. The record is from RefSeq and is a predicted model, not a curated record. The transcript has 3 exons.
GACGUAGCCUACAAUACCUCUUUCCUUGGCAAUUGGAGUCCAGUUCACAGCAGAUCUUCCUGCGCUAGUAUCCUGUUCGGACAACUUAGACUUAAAAUACGCAACUGUUUGUGACGAAAAUCCAAGCAUGAAGACUGCGGCUUUAACAAUGUUUUUGUUACUGGUAGCGCUACCUGGCUGUCCUCUUGGAGGUCCUGUUCUACGCAGCCAAGGUAGGAAGCGAAAGGAGG